Molecule: ribosomal RNA, 253 nt
Filed under: uncultured bacterium
Lineage: Bacteria
Description: partial 16S ribosomal RNA
Rfam family: Bacterial small subunit ribosomal RNA
Source: RNAcentral
UACAGAGGUCCCAAGCGUUGUUCGGAUUCACUGGGCGUAAAGGGUGCGUAGGUGGCCGGUUAAGUCUGACGUGAAAUCUCCGAGCCUAACUCGGAAACUGCAUCGGAAACUAUCCGGCUCGAGGGUUGGAGGGGUGACCGGAAUACUUGGUGUAGCAGUGAAAUGCGUAGAUAUCAAGAGGAACACCAGUGGCGAAGGCGAGUCCCUGGACAACUCCUGACACUGAGGCACGAAAGCUAGGGGAGCAAACAGG